Long non-coding RNA from Ipomoea triloba (trilobed morning glory), 585 nucleotides. RefSeq lists it as uncharacterized. The transcript is spliced from 2 exons. Lineage: Eukaryota; Viridiplantae; Streptophyta; Magnoliopsida; Solanales; Convolvulaceae. The record is from RefSeq and is a predicted model, not a curated record.
UAUUUAGUAGUUGUUUCCUUAUGCGAUUGGUAUUCAUAAAAGAUGCAUCCCAAUCGUCUCUGUCUUCCGUAUAUUGUUUAUCCGUGAUGAAACCAGACGCCAUCUGUGUGUGCAUACCAAAACAUCUCCAUGGCUGGCUCUUCUUCCAGGCGGUCCAAGCGGCUUAGGAAUAGUUCAUCCGGUGGUGUUCCAGUAUGAUUUGCUCUCGGUAUUCUUCGAGGAUGUUGGGUUCCCUGCUUUAGAUAUAAAGGUCAAACAGUUAAAGCCUAGACGUCUUCACAUUUCAUGGCGCUUCCUUCUUGGGAUUGUGAUAUUCGAAGGGGUGAUGCACGGUGUUUGAUUGUUUUAUGUGUGUAGUUCUUGCAAGAAAUUCCCUGCUUUAUGUUUGUUGUUGUAUGGGGGAAUUGUUGUAUUUUUAUAAUGUAUCAAAAUUAUUUAUUCGUGUUGGGGGUGUGCGGGACAGACUUGGUCAGUAAAAUGCACAUGCUGUAAACCACACAUGCACACACUUUCAUGUUAGAACCACUAAAUAUUAACUGUUGAAUGUUGGUUAGCAGGUUGGUUAUAGUCCAUUUUCUUAAUUUA